GACGAACGCUGGCGGCGUGCUUAACACAUGCAAGUCGAACGGAAAGGCCCUGCUUUUGUGGGGUGCUCGAGUGGCGAACGGGUGAGUAACACGUGAGUAACCUGCCCUUGACUUUGGGAUAACUUCAGGAAACUGGGGCUAAUACCGGAUAGGAGCUCCUGCUGCAUGGUGGGGGUUGGAAAGUUUCGGCGGUUGGGGAUGGACUCGCGGCUUAUCAGCUUGUUGGUGGGGUAGUGGCUUACCAAGGCUUUGACGGGUAGCCGGCCUGGGAGGGUGACCGGCCACAAUGGGACUGAGAUACGGCCCAGACUCCUACGGGAGGCAGCAGGGGGGAAUAUUGCACAAUGGGCGGAAGCCUGAUGCAGCAACGCCGCGUGCGGGAUGACGGCCUUCGGGUUGUAAACCGCUUUCGCCUGUGACGAAGCGUGAGUGACGGUAAUGGGUAAAGAAGCACCGGCUAACUACGUG
RNAcentral lists this ribosomal RNA (468 nucleotides) under uncultured bacterium. RNAcentral describes it as "partial 16S ribosomal RNA". It matches the Rfam family "Bacterial small subunit ribosomal RNA", at positions 28 to 507 of the family's 1533-position model. The record is from RNAcentral.